RNAcentral lists this long non-coding RNA (396 nucleotides) under Coffea arabica (coffee). RNAcentral describes it as "long non-coding RNA (CARA_LNC004169)". Lineage: Eukaryota; Viridiplantae; Streptophyta; Magnoliopsida; Gentianales; Rubiaceae. The record is from RNAcentral.
UGAGGCCUUUUGUAUCCUGCUUGUAUGUACUUCUAUACUUUUGUGGCACUUAAUUGCCUAUGUGCAAUAUUGGACAUAUUGGUCUUGUUUUGUAACUUCUAACCGUGCCAUAACUUUUGAUACAUGUAAUGAAUCAUGACCUGAUUUUAAAUGUGUUUGCAACUUGUAUACGCAAUGUGCUCUUUAUGCUUAGUUAUGCCUUUUCCUGUGCUUGUAGACUUUUCUUAAGUAGGGUAGCAGGAACGAGAAAAGGGGACCGUGACCGAGGGCUUAGACAACCCUGUACUUGUGAGACAAAUUGAUAGACAGUUUCAUAUAAUUUAAUAGGUCCCUAGUACCGAAUAUGAAUCGAACAUAAACCCGAAGAUCCGAUCUACUAGUGUAUAAUGGAUUAAC